UAUUAACUGUUAAUGUCGGGUACAAUUACAACUCGAUUUAAAAGUUUCCUUUUGUUCUUCGGUGUUUCGUUUACAUGCAACUCAGAUCUAAAUGAUUUGUUGGGAACUUAUGAGUAUUAACAAUGUAUGGGGUAUUUGAGUCUUUUCUUAUGUAUCUAUACACAUCAGCUAAAUGAAGGAUAUUAGAUUACUUAGUCAUUAAGUUUGGACAGCUGCUAUAUAAGGCUGGAUAAGGGUGUAAUUGUUUAGUUUUUGUUCAGUUAAUACAACAACUUCUUUUGCAAGUCACUUUUCUAUCUCGUUCUCUCUUCUUCUCUUUUCUUCUGCGAUUUCCAUAGUUUCUUGCAUUUAAGCUUUUCUGAAUGUUUCAAUGGCUGAACAUGCCAUUGUUAUGAUGGUAUCAAGAGCUUAGGUUUGGUGAAUAUGUGAAGAGGAUCCUGACGGGCUCAUCAAGCUUUGGAGUUUUUUUUUCCCGCCGAAUCUGCGAGGCGGUGGUUUCUGCUUUUGUCGACGGAGUUUUGGUUUCGGUUCGUCGGUGCUGACUCAGGUUAUAUCCACUUGAUUUUGGUGUUUUCUGGUCCAUAUUUUCUGGCCUUUGUGUUUAAUUUCAUGGUAUGGCUAUGGAUCUACGAUUUGUUGAUGUGAUACAUGUUAGGGCAUGAAGCCUAUUGUGGUUUGCUUACUUGAUGUGUUUUUGAGCACGAAGCUCCUUACAGUUUGGGCACGAAGCCUUGAUUUCUUCUAAAUUGCUGAUUGUUUGGGCACGAAGCCUUGAUUCUUUCUGAAAUUCUUUUUGCCAUUGCUGAUUGUUUGGGCACGAAGCCUUGAUUCUUUCUGACUUGCUGAUUGUUUGGGCACGAAGCCUUGCUUCUUUCUGAAUUGCUGAUCGGCACGAAGCCUAUUGUGAUUUGCUCCUGUUUGUUUCCUUUCUUGGUUCUUGUUGACGUCUCGAUAUGAAUACACUCAAAGUGGAAAGUCUUCUUGGUAUGUUCACCAUUCGGCUGCAAGAUGAUAAUUUUGUCAAGUGGUCUUUUCAAUUUCGAUCGGUGCUUGAGGGAUAUGAUUUGUUUGAUCACUUUGAUGGCACAUCGGUUUGUCCACCGAAGUUUGUGUUCACUGAAGCUAAUGGUAUCACUACUGAGAUUACAGCAGCUUACAAGGAAUGGAUUAAACAAGACCGCGCUCUUGUUAGUCUUCUUCUUGCUACAUUAGGUGAUGAGGCUGUGGAAUAUGUUGUCGGUUGUAAAACUGCACAUGAAGCUUGGAUGAAUUUGCAGGACAGAUAUGCUACUGUUUCCAGAGCACGGGUGAAUCAUCUCAAAACUGAAUUGUUGACUAUCAAGAAAGGGUCUGAUAGUGUUGAAAAAUAUAUGUUGAGGCUUAAGGCUCUUAAAGAUCAGCUACUGGCGGCAGGUGAAGUAGUGUCUGAGAAUGACCUUAUUGUUGCUGCUCUUGCGGGUUUACCGGCUGAGUUUAAUAUGAUUCGUACUGUGAUUGUGGCUCGUGAAACUCCUAUUUCUUUAAAAGAAUUCCGAGCACAAUUGUUGGCUGCUGAGAGAACAGCUGAUGAUUCGCAGUCUACUUUGCAUUUUCCUAUGUCAGCCAUGUAUUGUCAAGGAGAAUCUUCUAAUGCUCAUUCCUCACAAGAUCAAGGAGCUUCUCAGUACUUCUCUGGUGGCUAUGGUUUUGUCACUGAAGCUACUAAUUCUUCUCAAAGUACUGCUCACAGACCCACUGGUGGCAUAGUUUCUCAGGCUUCUCUGCCUCAUUUUCAUCAACAAGGAAAUGGGAAUUUUCAGAAUCAUAGAGGAUAUCAGCAUAAUGGUGGAAACAAUGGAAGAUUUAACAAUAGGUCCAGAUACAAUGGGAAUAAUAAUGGCAGAUUCUCAGGCAAUUCCAAUGGUUUUCCUGGAGGAUCAAACAGUAAUGGUUUUUCUGGAGGAUCAAACAGCAAUGGUUUUCCUGGAGGAUCAAACAGUAAUGGUUUUUCUGGUAGUUCUAAAGGAGGUUCAAAUUGGCAGAAUUGGAAUGGAAAUAGUGGUUUUAAGCCAACAUUGAUUCCUGAAUGUCAAAUAUGUCAUAAAAGAGGCCACACCGCUACUAAUUGCUAUUCAAGGUAUGAUGCCAGCUCAAGCUCUGCUCCUCCAAUUCUGGAGUGUCAAAUCUGUGGGAAGAAAGGUCAUUCUGCUCUCAAUUGUUAUCAUCGAGGAAAUUAUGCAUAUCAAGGUGCUCAACCUCCUUCUUCUUUCAAUGCUUUCACUGCACAAGCUCAUCCAAACCUUCAUUCUUCUUCUCAACAAAAUUGGGUGCUCGACACAGGGGCUACACACCAUAUGACAGCUGAUCUGGAUCAUUUGACACUUAUUACUCCUUUUGAAGGCACUGACAGGAUCACAGUGGGCAAUGGAGAAGGUUUACCUGUAGCCAAUACUGGUUCGGGUUCUCUUUUAACUUCUUCCAAACCUUUAACCCUUCAAAUGGUUUUACAUGUUCCUCAAUUAGCAGCUAGUUUAUUAUCUGUGUAUAGACUAUGCAAAGAUAAUCACUGCUAUGUUAUACUUGAUGAAUUUGGUUUCUGGGUGCAGGACAAGGCAACAAAGAAAGUUCUACUGAGAGGAAGGAGUAGUAGUAGUGGCUUGUAUUACAUUCCUCAGCAGCAGUUUUUCAACUAUUCUCAGCUAGUAAAUAAUACACCUCAAGCUCUUUUGGGACAACUUGUGACGACUUCAAUUUGGCAUCAACGACUUGGGCAUCCUACUAAUGAAGUUCAGUUGAAAAUGUUGAAGGAGUCUCAGAUAUCUGUCUCUUUAGAUAACAGUCCACAGUUAUGUUCAGCUUGUAUUAGGGGUAAGAUGACUAGACAACCAUUUCAUUCUCACUGUAAUAAGUCUAGUGUUCCUUUUGAGAAAGUGCAUACUGAUGUAUGGGGACCUUCACCCACUGUAUCUCUUGAAGGUUACAGAUAUUAUGUAAUCUUUGUAGAUGAAUGCACAAGGUUCACUUGGAUCUUUCCUCUUGUUAAUAAAUCUGAUGUCUAUUCUGUGUUUGUUAAGUUUCAUGCAUUUGUUUAUAAAUCAUUUCAAAUGCAAUAUUAAAACACUGCAAUCUGAUGGCGGAGGAGAGUAUAUGAGUAGGUUGUUUAAACAAUUUCUGGAUACAAAUGGGAUAUUACAUCUUGUCUCUUGUCCUUAUACCCCUCAACAGAAUGGGUUGGCAGAACGGAAACACAGGCAUAUUAUUGAGACUACUGUGACAUUAUUGAGUGCUGCAGGGUUACCUCAACAGUUUUGGUUUCAUGCUUGUAGUCAUGCAGUGUUUUUUGAUUAAUAGAAUGCCUUGCCAAAACUUAGAAAUGGUGUCUCCCUAUGUUAAAUUGUUUGCCCAAUCACCAUCUCUGAGUUCCUUAAAGAUUUUUGGUACUGCAGUCUAUCCCUACUUAAGACCUUAUAAUGUCAAUAAGUUACAAGCUCGAAGUGAUGAAUGUGUGUUUUUGGGCUACUCUAUUGGAUAUAAGGGAGUGUUGUGCUAUAAUCGGAAUACACAAAGGUUAUUGUUAUCAAGGCAUGUCAUCCAUGAUGAGAAUGUGUUUCCUUUUAAGAAGUCUCAUUCUUCUGUCCAUAUUUCUUCACCGGUUGUUUCCUCACAGCAAGAGUUACCAAGAAUGAGAUAUAUUGUGGUUCCUAAUUCCUCUACCCCAACAAGAGAAGAAAUUGGUGGAAAUGAUCAAUCUGUGGAUAUGCAUUCUAUGGCAUCUCAAUCUUCCAGUCUCUCUUCAAGUCCAGUUCUGCAUUCUUCAUCAGAUAUACAAGCUACUACACUACAUCCCUCUCCUUCUUCCUCUCAAGUGUUGCCUGUCCUUGAUCUUGACCAAAAUCAGGUAUCUUCAUCUCCUGUUAUACAUACUUCUUCUGAGCAUAAUAUGGUUACACGUUUAAAAAGUGGAGUCCUGCAGCGAAAAGACUACUCUGCUUAUUAUGCUUUUGCCUCAAAUACUUCUGUUGAUAAUGAUGUGAUGUUUUGUGGAUUCACUGCGAUUCUUAACAUUCAUGAUUCACUAGAACCUUCUCAUUAUAAACAAGCUGUUCUUUCUGAGGAUUGGAGGAAUGCUAUGAAGGAAGAAUUUGUGUCUUUACAAAAACAAGGUACUUGGGAGCUCGUACCACCUCCGGUUGACAGAAAUGUCAUAGGGAGCAAAUGGGUGUACAAGAUCAAGAAGGAUCAAGAUGGCAAAGUGUCCAGAUAUAAGGCACGUUUAGUUGCUCAGGGUUAUAGUCAGGAACAAGGAUUGGACUAUGAUGAGACUUUUAGUCCGGUAGUAAGACAUACAACAGUGAGGCUGGUUUUGUCUCUUGCUGCUAUGCAAGGAUGGGAAUUGCGGCAGUUGGAUGUCAAGAACGCUUUUCUUCAUGGUGAAUUACAAGAAGAAGUUUUUAUGAAACAACCUCAGGGUUUUCAAGAUCCUCAGCAUCCUAAUCAUGUGUGCAAGCUUCUCAAGUCCUUAUAUGGUCUUAAACAGGCUCCAAGGGCAUGGAAUGCCAAGUUUACAAGUUAUUUACCUUCUUUAGACUUUCAGUCAUCUCAUUCAGAUCCUAGUUUGUUUGUGAAAGUGUGUGGGAAUGAUGUAGUGAUCUUGUUGUUAUAUGUGGAUGAUAUCAUCAUCACAGGUUCUUCAUCUUUCCUUAUUCAACAAGUGAUUGCUGAAUUGAGUAGUGCUUUUGAUAUGAAGGACAUGGGCAAGCUUACUUAUUUUUUGGGACUUCAAAUCACGUACAAAGAUAAUGGUGAUAUAUUCAUUAAUCAAUCCAAGUAUGUGACUGAUCUACUCCAUAAGGCCGGCAUGAUAAAUUGCAGACCUUGUUCCACUCCAAGUAAACCUCAUACUCAAUUGGUCAAAGAUGAAGGAGAACCAUUAGCUGAUCCUACAGUUUACAGAAGUUUAGUUGGUGCAUUGCAAUAUCUCACCUUUACACGCCCUGAUAUUGCAUAUGCGGUCAACUAUGCUUGCCAAUUCAUGACAACUCCAACUGAAGCUCAUUUCUGUCUCGUUAAAAGAAUCCUCCGGUAUUUGAAGGGUACAUGGCAAUGUGGAUUAACUUACUCUGCUCAAGCCAAUAUGGAUUUAUUGGCUUAUAGUGAUGCUGAUUGGGCAGCAGAUAUAAAUACAAGGAGGUCGACUACUGGUUACAUUGUUUUUCUGGGCUCAAAUCCUGUGUCCUGGCAGUCUAAGAAACAAGGCAGUGUUUCUCGAAGCUCAACGGAGGCUGAAUAUAAAGCCUUAGCUAAUGCAGCAGCGGAUGUGGCUUGGAUCCGAUUAGUUCUUAAGGAUCUCCAUAUGUUUCUUCCUUCAGUACCAUUGGUACAUUGUGAUAAUCUGUCUACAUUGGCAUUGUGUUCUAAUCCAGUUUUUCAUACUAGGAUUAAACACUUAGAUACUGAUUUUCAUUUUGUUCGUGAACGGGUGCAAAAAGGUGAUCUGCAGGUACAGUAUAUUCCCACUGAGGCUCAGAUUGCAGAUGUCUUAACUAAAGGAUUACAUAGUCCUCUGUUUGUUCAUCAUUGUUCCAAUCUCCGACUGGGAUAUCCCAGCUGAGAUUGAGGGGGAGUAUUAACAAUGUAUGGGGUAUUUGAGUCUUUUCUUAUGUAUCUAUACACAUCAGCUAAAUGAAGGAUAUUAGAUUACUUAGUCAUUAAGUUUGGACAGCUGCUAUAUAAGGCUGGAUAAGGGUGUAAUUGUUUAGUUUUUGUUCAGUUAAUACAACAACUUCUUUUGCAAGUCACUUUUCUGUCUCGUUCUCUCUUCUUCUCUUUUCUUCUGCGAUUUCCAUAGUUUCUUGCAUUUAAGCUUUUCUGAAUGUUUCAAUGGCUGAACAUGCCAUUGUUAUGAAUGAGAAAGGAAAGAACGAAGCAAACAAGAAAAUCCGAGCUAGGUGGUCAUGACGAAGUAUUUUUAUGUCCCGUGCUAGGAAGCAUUACUCUUCCCUUUCAUUCCAAAUUAACAAUAUGGCCGAUACGGUUAACUAGUUUGUGUGCCUCUCCUACUUUUUGUAUCCCAUUCCCCCGGUUUUUCGGAUACGUUUUGAUCCUCCUACGCCAAAUCUAAAUUUGUGAAAAAUAACAUAAUUUAUGCGCACUAUUUCUCACUUUUUUAAUAUUCUUGUGUAUUUUUAGUUAGGGAUUUUAU
Molecule: long non-coding RNA, 6181 nt
Filed under: Malus domestica (apple)
Lineage: Eukaryota; Viridiplantae; Streptophyta; Magnoliopsida; Rosales; Rosaceae
Description: long non-coding RNA (MDOM_LNC009940)
Source: RNAcentral